RNAcentral lists this ribosomal RNA (654 nucleotides) under Meyerozyma carpophila. RNAcentral describes it as "eukaryotic LSU rRNA". It matches the Rfam family "Eukaryotic large subunit ribosomal RNA", at positions 1 to 665 of the family's 3401-position model. Lineage: Eukaryota; Fungi; Ascomycota; Pichiomycetes; Serinales; Debaryomycetaceae. The record is from RNAcentral.
CAAGUUUGACCUCAAAUCAGGUAGGAAUACCCGCUGAACUUAAGCAUAUCAAUAAGCGGAGGAAAAGAAACCAACAGGGAUUGCCUUAGUAGCGGCGAGUGAAGCGGCAAAAGCUCAAAUUUGAAAUCUGGCGCCUUCGGUGUCCGAGUUGUAAUUUGAAGAUUGUAACCUUGGGGUUGGCUCUUGUCUAUGUUUCUUGGAACAGGACGUCACAGAGGGUGAGAAUCCCGUGCGAUGAGAUGCCCAAUCCUAUGUAAGGUGCUUUCGAAGAGUCGAGUUGUUUGGGAAUGCAGCUCUAAGUGGGUGGUAAAUUCCAUCUAAAGCUAAAUAUUGGCGAGAGACCGAUAGCGAACAAGUACAGUGAUGGAAAGAUGAAAAGAACUUUGAAAAGAGAGUGAAAAAGUACGUGAAAUUGUUGAAAGGGAAGGGUUUGAGAUCAGACUCGAUAUUUUGUGAGCCUUGCCUUCGUGGCGGGGUGACCCGCAGCUUAUCGGGCCAGCAUCGGUUUGGGCGGCAGGAUAAUGGCGUAGGAAUGUGACUUUACCUCGGUGAAGUGUUAUAGCCUGCGUUGAUGCUGCCUGCCUAGACCGAGGACUGCGAUUUUAUCAAGGAUGCUGGCAUAAUGAUCCCAAACCGCCCGUCUUGAAACACGGA